GACGAACGCUGGCGGCGUGCUUAACACAUGCAAGUCGAACGGAAAGGCCUCUUUCGGGGGGUACUCGAGUGGCGAACGGGUGAGUAACACGUGAGUAACCUGCCCUUGACUUUGGGAUAACUUCAGGAAACUGGGGCUAAUACCUGAUAGGAGCUCCUGCUGCAUGGUGGGGGUUGGAAAGUUUCGGCGGUUGGGGAUGGACUGGCGGCUUAUCAGCUUGUUGGUGGGGUAGUGGCUUACCAAGGCUUUGACGGGUAGCCGGCCUGAGAGGGUGACCGGCCACAGUGGGACUGAGAGACGGCCCAGACUCCUACGGGAGGCAGCAGUGGGGAAUAUUGCACAAUGGGUGGAAGCCUGAUGCAGCAACGCCGUGUGCGGGAGGACGGCCUUCGGGUUGUAAACCGCUUUCGCUCAUGACGAAGCUUUGUGUGACGGUAGUGGGUAAAGAAGCACCGGCUAACUACGUG
Molecule: ribosomal RNA, 467 nt
Filed under: uncultured bacterium
Lineage: Bacteria
Description: partial 16S ribosomal RNA
Rfam family: Bacterial small subunit ribosomal RNA
Source: RNAcentral